GCCGGGCGGGUGGUGCACACCUGUAAUCCCAGGGCUGGGGAGGCUGAGACAGGAGGAUCAGGAGUUCAAAGCCAGCCUCAGCAACUGUGAGGCAGGAAGCCACUCAGUGAGAUCCUGUCUCUA
RNAcentral lists this small RNA (123 nucleotides) under Marmota monax (woodchuck). Lineage: Eukaryota; Metazoa; Chordata; Mammalia; Rodentia; Sciuridae. The record is from RNAcentral.